Molecule: unclassified non-coding RNA, 147 nt
Organism: Macaca fascicularis (crab-eating macaque)
Lineage: Eukaryota; Metazoa; Chordata; Mammalia; Primates; Cercopithecidae
Rfam family: Metazoan signal recognition particle RNA
About the family: The signal recognition particle (SRP) is a universally conserved ribonucleoprotein. It is involved in the co-translational targeting of proteins to membranes. The eukaryotic SRP consists of a 300-nucleotide 7S RNA and six proteins: SRPs 72, 68, 54, 19, 14, and 9.
Source: Ensembl
GCCGGGUGUGAUGGUGCACACCUGUAAUCCCAGCUACUUGGGAGGCUGAGGCAGGAGAAUCGCUUGAACCCAGAGGCAGAGGCUGCCGUGAGCUGAGAUCAUGCCACUGCACUCUUGUCUGGGUAACAGAGUGAGACUCUGUCUCAA